UACGGGGGGGGCAAGCGUUGUUCGGAAUUACUGGGCGUAAAGGGCUCGUAGGCGGCCAACUAAGUCGGAUGUGAAAUCCCCAGGCUCAACCUGGGAACUGCAUCCGAUACUGGAUGGCUUGAAUUCGGGAGAGGGAUGCAGAAUUCCAGGUGUAGCGGUGAAAUGCGUAGAUAUCUGGAGGAAUACCGGUGGCGAAGGCGGCAUCCUGGACCGACAUUGACGCUGAUGAGCGAAAGCCAGGGGAGCGAACGGG
RNAcentral lists this ribosomal RNA (253 nucleotides) under uncultured bacterium. RNAcentral's name for it is "partial 16S ribosomal RNA". It matches the Rfam family "Bacterial small subunit ribosomal RNA", at positions 524 to 776 of the family's 1533-position model. The record is from RNAcentral.